UGGGGAAUAUUGCACAAUGGAGGGAACUCUGAUGCAGCGACGCCGCGUGAACGAAGAAGGCUUUCGAGUCGUAAAGUUCUUUGAUAAGGGAAGAUAAUGACGGUACCAUAAUAAAAAGCCCCGUCUAACUACGUGCCAGCAGCCGCGGUAAUACGUAGGGGGCUAGCGUUGUCCGGAAUCACUGGGCGUAAAGGGUUCGCAGGCGGAAAUGAAAGUCAGGUGUAAAAGGCAGUAGCUUAACUACUGUAAGCAUUUGAAACUGCAUAUCUUGAGAAGAGUAGAGGUAAGUGGAAUUUUUAGUGUAGCGGUGAAAUGCGUAGAUAUUAAAAAGAAUACCGGUGGCGAAGGCGACUUACUGGGCUCAUUCUGACGCUGAGGAACGAAAGCGUGGGUAGCAAACAGG
RNAcentral lists this ribosomal RNA (403 nucleotides) under Fusobacteriota bacterium. Its description in RNAcentral is "Fusobacteria bacterium partial 16S ribosomal RNA". It matches the Rfam family "Bacterial small subunit ribosomal RNA", at positions 355 to 776 of the family's 1533-position model. Lineage: Bacteria; Fusobacteriati; Fusobacteriota. The record is from RNAcentral.